UCCGGCUUAUCACCGGCAGUCUCCUUAGAGUGCUCAACUAAAUGGUAGCAACUAAGGACGGGGGUUGCGCUCGUUGCGGGACUUAACCCAACAUCUCACGACACGAGCUGACGACAGCCGUGCACCACCUGUGCACUGGCCCCGAAGGGCUGCCGUAUUUCUACGACAUUCCAGUGCAUGUCAAACCCAGGUAAGGUUCUUCGCGUUGCGUCGAAUUAAACCACAUGCUCCGCUGCUUGUGCGGGCCCCCGUCAAUUCCUUUGAGUUUUAGCCUUGCGGCCGUACUCCCCAGGCGGGGCACUUAAUGCGUUAGCGUCGGCACGGGAGGAGUCGACACCUCCCACACCUAGUGCCCAUCGUUUACGGCGUGGACUAC
This 376-nucleotide unclassified non-coding RNA is filed under the name uncultured Thermoleophilia bacterium. RNAcentral's name for it is "contains 16S-23S intergenic spacer region". Lineage: Bacteria; Bacillati; Actinomycetota; Thermoleophilia. The record is from RNAcentral.